RNAcentral lists this long non-coding RNA (403 nucleotides) under Heterocephalus glaber (naked mole-rat). RNAcentral describes it as "lncRNA (ENSHGLG00000038320.1)". The record is from RNAcentral. Lineage: Eukaryota; Metazoa; Chordata; Mammalia; Rodentia; Bathyergidae.
AUCUCUACUCCCAGUGCGGUGAUUGGAAGAGCUGUGAUCUGGCUGAAGGAUUCUUCUGUCAGAGCCAAGCUCAGGAUCCCCGGCCACAGAGCCUGUGUGUCUUAGCCAGAAGCCAACCACUGGGGCCCAGUCCUAGAGCACCUUCACCUGCCUCCUCUGUUCUAGUGGUUAUCGAGAGUGGCAAGGAGGAGAUCCAUUAGCUGACCACCCACUUGCACCCAGCACAGCAGGAGAAAGCAACUCUUCAGACAGUGGCAGCUGGCCUUAUCCAUCACACUAGGCCUCUGAUGGGGCUAUUAGAAUGUCAAGGGAACUUGUUUCUUCCUUUAUCAAUGUCUGUGAAAUACAAAGCAAUGAAGUCUAAAGAGUCUUUGCCAUGGAGAGAGGAUCAUGUCAAUCAGAG